GGACGAACGCUGGCGGCGUGCUUAACACAUGCAAGUCGAACGAUGAAGAAGAGAAACGCGAACUUCGGUUCAAAUUUCACUUCGGAUUAGUGGCAGACGGGUGAGUAACGCGUGAGCAACCUACCUCUUACAAAGGGAUAGCCUCGGGAAACCGUGAUUAAUACCAUAUGACACAUUCAUAAGGCAUCUUAAGAAUGUUAAAGCUACGGCGGUAAGAGAUGGGCUCGCGUCCCAUUAGCUAGUUGGUGAGGUAACGGCCCACCAAGGCGACGAUGGGUAACCGGCCUGAGAGGGUGAACGGUCACAUUGGAACUGAGACACGGUCCAAACUCCUACGGGAGGCAGCAGUGGGGAAUAUUGCACAAUGGAGGGAACUCUGAUGCAGCGACGCCGCGUGAGCGAUGAAGGAAUUCGUUUCGUAAAGCUCUGUUCUAUGGGAAGAAAAGGACUGUACCAUAGGAGAAAGCCCCGGCUAAAUACGUG
Molecule: ribosomal RNA, 483 nt
Filed under: uncultured bacterium
Lineage: Bacteria
Description: partial 16S ribosomal RNA
Rfam family: Bacterial small subunit ribosomal RNA
Source: RNAcentral